GCGGCGCUCGGCCUGGGCGUGCUGGGCGCCGCGCUGUGGUCCCGGCAGGCGUGGCCGCCGCCACCGCGCCCACCGGUCCCGCCCGCGACACCGUCC
Molecule: transfer RNA, 96 nt
Filed under: Phytohabitans rumicis
Lineage: Bacteria; Bacillati; Actinomycetota; Actinomycetes; Micromonosporales; Micromonosporaceae
Description: tRNA-His
Source: RNAcentral